This 253-nucleotide ribosomal RNA is filed under the name uncultured Comamonadaceae bacterium. RNAcentral describes it as "partial 16S ribosomal RNA". It matches the Rfam family "Bacterial small subunit ribosomal RNA", at positions 524 to 776 of the family's 1533-position model. The record is from RNAcentral. Lineage: Bacteria; Pseudomonadati; Pseudomonadota; Betaproteobacteria; Burkholderiales; Comamonadaceae.
UACGGAGGGUGCAAGCGUUAAUCGGAAUUACUGGGCGUAAAGCGUGCGCAGGCGGUUUUGUAAGACAGAGGUGAAAUCCCCGGGCUCAACCUGGGAACUGCCUUUGUGACUGCAAGGCUGGAGUGCGGCAGAGGGGGAUGGAAUUCCGCGUGUAGCAGUGAAAUGCGUAGAUAUGCGGAGGAACACCGAUGGCGAAGGCAAUCCCCUGGGCCUGCACUGACGCUCAUGCACGAAAGCGUGGGGAGCAAACAGG